CUCAUCAUAGCUCAGUUGGUAGAGCGGUUGACUGUAGAUCAAUAGGUCACCUGUUCGAAUCAGGUUGAUGAGA
This 73-nucleotide transfer RNA is filed under the name Anaeramoeba flamelloides. RNAcentral describes it as "tRNA-Tyr". It matches the Rfam family "tRNA". Rfam says of the family: Transfer RNA (tRNA) molecules are approximately 80 nucleotides in length. The record is from RNAcentral. Lineage: Eukaryota; Anaeramoebidae.